GAAAAUAGACAAGCAAUGAUAGAGCCCAACAUGUCCAAAAGGAAAAGAGAAUGGGCUAUUUAUUAUGUGCUAAUGCUAUGGCAUGUUUGGUUGACUUGGAAUAACUAGGAAUAGAAAUUGCUCCAACAUUCUCUCGUUUUAUCGAUAUAUAGCGAAUCAAUGGGUGUAGAUUUUUUAAUGUUCUCUGAUAUGGGGGGGCUGCUUGUUAACAAUGGUUCUCUUGGUUUUGUUUUAACAAAAUCAUAUGCAGAGAGUUUAUCACUAUAUUAUUGGGC
RNAcentral lists this long non-coding RNA (275 nucleotides) under Manihot esculenta (cassava). Its description in RNAcentral is "long non-coding RNA (MESC_LNC000618)". The record is from RNAcentral. Lineage: Eukaryota; Viridiplantae; Streptophyta; Magnoliopsida; Malpighiales; Euphorbiaceae.